RNAcentral lists this ribosomal RNA (816 nucleotides) under Sanguirana tipanan. Its description in RNAcentral is "partial 16S ribosomal RNA". The stretch from base 203 to 647 matches the Rfam family "Bacterial large subunit ribosomal RNA", at positions 619 to 1301 of the family's 2925-position model. The record is from RNAcentral. Lineage: Eukaryota; Metazoa; Chordata; Amphibia; Anura; Ranidae.
GCCUAACAUCUAGCCCACACCAUACUCAUGAACCUUUUUCCACCCCACGUACACAACAAAACAUUUUACCUCUUUAGUACAGGCGAUGGAAAAACUUAUAGGCGCUUCAGAUUAAGUACCGCAAGGGAAAGAUGAAAUAAAAAUGAAACAACUUUAAAGCCCUAAACAGCAGAGAUAUACCCUCGUACCUUUUGCAUCAUGGUCUAGCUAGUUUAACCAAGCAAAAUGCGAACUUUAGUGUGAUGCCCCGAAACUAAGUGAGCUACUUCGAAACAGCCCUAAGGGGCCAACCCGUCUCUGUUGCAAAAGAGUGGGAAGAUUUUCAAGUAGAGGUGAUAAGCCUACCGAACUUAGAGAUAGCUGGUUAUUCAGGAGAAGAGUCUUAGCUCUGCCUUAAGUUUUUUUAUUGACGUAAACAAAUUCUUAAACUUAAGAGUUAUUCAAGUAAGGUUCAGCUUACUUGAAACAGGAUACAACCUCCAAUAUUGGGUAAAUAAAGGGAACCCAGACAAAGUGGGCCUAAAAGCAGCCACCUUAUGAAAAGCGUUAAAGCUUAAUCACUAAUUCACCUACAAUUCCUCAUUUCCUUAUUAACCCCUCACCCCUACUGAAUCAUUUUAUAAUACUAUAAAAAUUAUUAUGCUAGAACUAGUAACAAGAAACUGCCUUUCUCCUGAAUGUUGGCCAGAACCGAAAUAAACCCCGUCGGUAUUUAACGUAAAUGCUUUAAUUAUAGCAACACGCAACUAGAAAACCCUAUAAUUUUCAACGUCAACCUUACACCAGAGCAUUACAGGAAAGAUAAAAGAAAGAGAA